Molecule: ribosomal RNA, 500 nt
Filed under: uncultured bacterium
Lineage: Bacteria
Description: bacterial SSU rRNA
Rfam family: Bacterial small subunit ribosomal RNA
Source: RNAcentral
AACGAACGCUGGCGGCGCGUCUUAAGCAUGCAAGUCGAGCGGUAUGGAGAAGCUUGCUUCUCCAGAGAGCGGCGGACUGGUGAGUAACACGUGGGUGACCUACCCUUAGGAUGGGGAUAGCCACUAGAAAUAGUGGGUAAUACCGAAUGUGGUUGCGAGACUGUGGUCUUGCAAAGAAAGGAGCUACGGCUCCGCCUGAGGAUGGGCCCGCGUCCCAUUAGCUAGUUGGUGAGGUAACGGCCCACCAAGGCGAUGAUGGGUAGCCGGCCUGAGAGGGUGAACGGCCACACUGGGACUGAGAUACGGCCCAGACUCCUACGGGAGGCAGCAGCUAAGAAUAUUCCGCAAUGGACGAAAGUCUGACGGAGCGACGCCGCGUGGAUGAAGAAGGCCGAAAGGUUGUAAAAUCCUUUUGUCGAUGAAGAAUAAAGCAUGGGAGGGAAUGCCCGUGUGAUGACGUUAGUCGGCGAAUAAGCCCGGCUAAUACGUGCCAGCAGCCG